RNAcentral lists this ribosomal RNA (254 nucleotides) under uncultured bacterium. Its description in RNAcentral is "partial 16S ribosomal RNA". It matches the Rfam family "Bacterial small subunit ribosomal RNA", at positions 524 to 776 of the family's 1533-position model. The record is from RNAcentral.
UACAUAGGGGGCAAGCGUUGUCCGGAUUCAUUGGGCGUAAAGAGCGUGUAGGCGGCCAGGUAGGUCGGUUGUGAAAACUGGAGGCUCAGCCUUCAGACGUCGACCGAAACCAUCUGGCUAGAGUCCGGGAGAGGAGAGUGGAAUUCCUGGUGUAGCGGUGAAAUGCGCAGAUAUCAGGAAGAACACCCGUGGCGAAAGCGGCUCUCUGGAACGGUACUGACGCUGAGACGCGAAAAGCGUGGGGAGCGAACAGG